GUUAUAGUUUUCCGGAGGAGGGGUUUGCUCGAAAGUAUGCAAUAAGUUAUGCUUAAGGGCGAUCAGAUAAGGCGUAUGGGGCAUGUUGAACGAUACAUUGUUGACCGACCAACGCACGAAACCAUUUAUCCUGUUUUGGGUAUUGAGCAUGACAAUGACCCUGUCCGAUGUUUUAGGAGGAGCGUGAAUGAAAUCCUUGUGGGAUUUGAUUGCAACACUCUGAGCCACCCUUGGAGCUACAUCGUUCCAAUGGGGCCCCGCAGGUGGUACAGUAGGAGGGGUUCUCCUAGGAUGGUUUGGGUAGUAAGUAAUAAUU
Molecule: long non-coding RNA, 316 nt
Filed under: Nicotiana benthamiana
Lineage: Eukaryota; Viridiplantae; Streptophyta; Magnoliopsida; Solanales; Solanaceae
Description: long non-coding RNA (NBEN_LNC040598)
Source: RNAcentral